This 468-nucleotide ribosomal RNA is filed under the name uncultured bacterium. RNAcentral describes it as "partial 16S ribosomal RNA". It matches the Rfam family "Bacterial small subunit ribosomal RNA", at positions 28 to 507 of the family's 1533-position model. The record is from RNAcentral.
GACGAACGCUGGCGGCGUGCUUAACACAUGCAAGUCGAACGGAAAGGCCCUGCUUUUGUGGGGUGCUCGAGUGGCGAACGGGUGAGUAACACGUGAGUAACCUGCCCUUGACUUUGGGAUAACUUCAGGAAACUGGGGCUAAUACCGGAUAGGAGCUCCUGCUGCAAGGUGGGGGUUGGAAAGUUUCGGCGGUUGGGGAUGGACUCGCGGCUUAUCAGCUUGUUGGUGGGGUAGUGGCUUACCAAGGCUUUGACGGGUAGCCGGCCUGAGAGGGUGACCGGCCACAUUGGGACUGAGAUACGGCCCAGACUCCUACGGGCGGCAGCAGUGGGGAAUAUUGCACAAUGGGCGGAAGCCUGAUGCAGCAACGCCGCGUGCGGGAUGCCGUCCUUCUGGUUGUAAACCGCUUUCGCCUGUGACGAAGCGUGAGUGACGGUACUUGGUAAAGAAGCCCCGGCUAACUACGUG